This 71-nucleotide transfer RNA is filed under the name Phrynosoma platyrhinos (Desert horned lizard). Its description in RNAcentral is "tRNA-OTHER". It matches the Rfam family "tRNA". Rfam says of the family: Transfer RNA (tRNA) molecules are approximately 80 nucleotides in length. Their secondary structure includes four short double-helical elements and three loops (D, anti-codon, and T loops). The record is from RNAcentral. Lineage: Eukaryota; Metazoa; Chordata; Lepidosauria; Squamata; Phrynosomatidae.
GCCAGUGUGGCAUAGUGGUUUGAGCAUUGGACUACAACUCUGGAAACCAGGGUUCAAUUCCUGCUCAGCCA